Long non-coding RNA from Mus musculus (house mouse), 346 nucleotides. RefSeq annotates it as predicted gene, 33716. NCBI's taxonomy places the organism in Eukaryota, Metazoa, Chordata, Mammalia, Rodentia, Muridae. The record is from RefSeq and is a predicted model, not a curated record. The transcript has 3 exons.
GGGAGGGAGAAGGGAAGGAGAGGAGAGACAGGUCUAAGGAUGAAACGGAAGCAGUUUGGAUUGAAUGCGCUCCGUGCCAGGGAUUAUGAACCACUGGCUGAUGGAGUUGAGUUGCAAGGGGAUACAUAGAAAGAAACAAACACUAUUACAACCAAAGCACCCGGAGACAUGGGUGUUCCACAGUCAGUGCAGUUGAUGGGGGCCAGAAAAGUAGGCGGCGGGAAGGCAAGAGGAAGAGACUACUAACCGCAAGCAUUAAGGCACAGAAAAGAUGUGAAGCCUCCCUCACAUAAAAAGCCCAGUGUUGUGACUACGGAGCAUGCCUUCAGUAUUUAAUUUUAAACUA